This 492-nucleotide long non-coding RNA is filed under the name Vigna radiata. RNAcentral describes it as "long non-coding RNA (VRAD_LNC018534)". The record is from RNAcentral. Lineage: Eukaryota; Viridiplantae; Streptophyta; Magnoliopsida; Fabales; Fabaceae.
UCAAUCACUCAAGUGUUUCAGGAGGUCACUCUUCUCUCUACUAUUCACCUGUCACAUGAAACAAAAUUGAUAUUCAUCUGAUACAAUCAACAUCUUUACACAUAAAUGUCACUCAUUGGUUUUUAAGAUCACAAAAUCCUUGAGUUAAGAGAGCUAUUCAUAUAAUCAUAAUUCAAGCACAAACUCUCUUUUUACCAAUCUCACUCAUUCCCAACUUUCACCUUUUUCUUCUCUUUUACAUUGAGCUCACCUGUCAUGCUUUUUCUUUUCUUUUCUUUCUUUUCUCAUGCUUUUUCCAUUCAACACUUGAGCUCAAUGCCUUUCUUUUGCCUUUCAAUUUCCCCCAACAACCCCAAACUUGAACCUUUAUCAACAUCACAAAAUAUUUCUCAACCUAAGUCAAGGUAAAGACUUUCAAAACAAGGGUUUUCAUCCUGUUUAAGGCUUAGGUUCAAAAAGGGUAGAACAUCAAAUGUUCCUUUUACUUUGGGC